CAGCCAGGAAUAUUGCGCAAUGGACGAAAGUCUGACGCAGCGGACGCCGCGUGGAGGAUGAAGGCCCUCGGGUUGUAAACUCCUUUUGCCAAGCCGUUCACAGCUUGGCGAAUAAGCCCCUAUUAACUACGUGCCAGAAGUCUCGGUAAUACGUAGGGGGCAAGCGUUAUCCGGAUUCAUUGGGCGUAAAGUGUGCGUAGGCGUUCCAUAAAGUCUUCAUUUAAAGACCAAGGCUCAACCUUGGGAGUGGUGGAGAUACUCAUGGAAUUGAGGAUUGGUCGGGAAGCUGGAACAGUUAGUGUAGCAGUGAAACGCGUUGAUAUUAACUGGAACACCAAGGGCGAAGGCAGGCUUCUGAACUUUUCCUGACGCUGAGGCACGAAAACUAGGGUAGCAAACGGGAUUAGAUACCCCGGUAGUCCUAGCCGUAAACGAUGGACACCAGGUGUUGGUGGUAUCAACCCCGCCAGUGCCGAAGCUAACGCAUUAAGUGUCCCGCCUGGGGAGUACGGCCGCAAGGCUA
This 523-nucleotide ribosomal RNA is filed under the name uncultured bacterium. RNAcentral describes it as "bacterial SSU rRNA". It matches the Rfam family "Bacterial small subunit ribosomal RNA", at positions 352 to 896 of the family's 1533-position model. The record is from RNAcentral.